Molecule: long non-coding RNA, 217 nt
Organism: Mustela lutreola (European mink)
Lineage: Eukaryota; Metazoa; Chordata; Mammalia; Carnivora; Mustelidae
Exons: 3
Source: RefSeq, a predicted model, not a curated record
AUGUGCCAGGCACUGUUCUAGGUGCAGGAGACUCAGGGUGAACAGAAUAGGCAGGAUCCCUGCUCCUACAGGGCUGACGUUCUAGGAAGACAAAGGAAGACAAAGAACAGGAGAAUAGCAGGGCUUGAAUUCACAACCCUGACAUCAAGAUCUGAGUCUCCAGAUCCAGAUAUGGAACAUCUUUAUCCCUCCAGAAAUUUUCUUCAUACUUCUCCAG